Acinonyx jubatus (cheetah) is the source of this 2461-nucleotide long non-coding RNA. RefSeq lists it as uncharacterized. The transcript is spliced from 3 exons. Lineage: Eukaryota; Metazoa; Chordata; Mammalia; Carnivora; Felidae. The record is from RefSeq and is a predicted model, not a curated record.
UUCUCGCGUGUUCUGCGCUCAGAGACAAGCCGUCGCACGGCCCUAAGAAGGGAGGUUAACGUUGGCGGCCCCGGGAAAAGUGGACAGGAACCAUUGGGGGCGUCUACUAAGCCAUCUAUGACUGUCGAGAGUAUUUGGGGGCGGGUCGGGGUGCAUCCAAAGAGCAGAGGUCUCGUCCGGUGGGGUGGUCCCUUUGGUCACUUGUCAUAGAAUGAGUGGAGCUGCAGCCCUGCUUCAGAAAACCCGACACAGCAGUCCCACGCGUGCGGUUCCGCGUCAUUACCGGAAUCCGGGCGGAUACCCUGUGCUCUCACAUUCUGUGGCCAGAUCUUCGGUGGUUCCGACGCUCCCACAUCCUCAGCCCCGAGCACGCGGUCGUUUGACGGCCUUUAGGGUUCCUGUCACCCAAGUGUAGUAUUCUGAUACGUGGAGAAGUGGGACCCUCCCCGGGCGAGGAACAAAUCUAACGUGCAAGGCAAGGCUGUUCUCAGCACCAUGACGUUUACAUGUCCCUGUCCAGAGAUGUGCAGCAUUGUCCCCGUUAGUUCCUGUUUGCUAGCCACUUUCAUAGGCAUGACAGUCCUCUGGAUCCCUUGGUUGAUUGAUUUGAUAUGUAUACGGAUUCAGUUAAUUUAGUUUCUUGGGGGUAAAUUCUACAGCCAACCUCUCCAUGAUAGGCCCAUCAGAAUGUGCUUCUACUCGGUUCUACUGGGACAAGACUGAAGCUGGUUGAGCUGUUGGUGUCUUCGUUGUCACUUCCAGAAGCAGAAGGUGCUGAGAAGGUUGACACCUAGGUAUUUUUGUUGAGCUUGUGACCGGCGUCGUACAACAUUGGCCCCUUCCACCAUGUGAGGACACAGCAAGAAGUCCACAGUCUGCAGCCUGGAAGAGGACUGUCACCAGAACUCAACCACACCAGCACCCUGAUCAUGAACUUUCAGCCUCCAGAACCGAGACUCCACACCCAGCAUGGAGCCCAAAUCAGGGCUUGAACUCAUGAGUCUGAGAUCAAAACCUGAGUUGAGAUCAAGAGUCAGGUGCUUGGGGCAGCUGGGUGGCUCAGUUGGUUAAGCAUCUGACUCUUGGUUUUGGCUCAGGUCAUGAUCUCACGGUUUCAUGAGUUUGAACCCCGCAUCCGGCUCCAUGCUGAUGGUGCAGAGCCUGCUUGGGAUUCUCUCUCUCUCUGCCCCUCCCCCACUCACGCUAUCUCUGUCUCUCUCAAAACAAAUAAACUUAAAAAUGUAUAUAUUAAAAAAAAAAAAAGAGCCAGAUGCUUAACUGACUGAGCCACCCAGGCAUCCCUGAUACCUAAUUUAAUUGAGGCAUCUUCUGUAUUUGAGCACAUAGUCAGUUUUUCUGAAUAAUGCAUGUAUGCUAGAAUAGAAUGUGUAUCUGUUUGUUGCAUGACAAGUUGCUGUAAAUCUAUUAUCUUGGGCUUCUUAAUCCUGUUAUUAAAACUUCUAUAGCUCUCCUUCCUCUUGUCUGCUUGGUGUAUAAUUUCUCAGGGGUUAUGUAAAACUUUCCUACUACCAUUACUGAUUUUUCUGUCAGUCAUUCUAUCUACUUGAUCUCUCAUUCAUUUUUUAUAAGUAUAUAAUGGGUUCAGACAAGAGGAUACGUAGACUGAUUUCUCCCUGAUCCUUCCUGCUGAGUUCAUUAUAAGUGCCAGAAAUAACAAACGAGAGCUCUGAUAGGUAGAAAGAGGAGGGUGGACUGGGUAGAGAGACAGACCUCAGGACUAGAGGAACCCCACGGUGGCAGAGCAACUCACAACCCAAACCUAGCAUGAGAAGGUGGCCCAGGUAGGCUCAUUCUUCUCCCAGAUCAAAUAGAGGCCCUACCUACAAUACCAGAGGAGCCUGAUAGCACUGGAGGGGGAACUUAUUGGAAGGCCCACUGACCGUAAGAACCAGGGAAAGCAUUCUCUUUCCCUACGAGCCUGACUCUCCUCACCCAUCCAGAACACCAGCUGUAUGGGGAGCACCUGCAAGUGGGGAGGGGGGAGGCCUGUCACAAUCACACAGCCAGGAAGCCUCUUUGUCCCUUGGACCUGAAACUCCCCUCCCCCGCCUAGAGCUGAAGUAGGAGGGCAGUGUCACUUAGAAGAAAUGGCACUGACAAGGGGGAUCCCACCACUACAACUGAUUGAGAAGCUUCCAUGUUCCCCCAAGCCUGAGACCCCUCUCAUGCACAGAGAGAAAACAGGCUUUAAUCUGCUGCACAUACUGGGGGAUCUGACCAAGACAAUCAGCUGGCCCAGAAAGCACUCUCUGACCCAGCCACCCCUGGGAAUCUCCACCUCCACACCCAACACACAUCCACACUCACAUCUGGAGACACCAGGUGAUUGGACCACCAGGGGAAUGCCACCACAUGAAGGGCCCAAACUAGGAAGCACUCUUUUCCCCCGUGAGCUGGAGACCCAUUUCCCCACCUUAGCCCAGCCUGCGGAAGCUCUUUC